This 301-nucleotide ribosomal RNA is filed under the name uncultured bacterium. RNAcentral describes it as "partial 16S ribosomal RNA". It matches the Rfam family "Bacterial small subunit ribosomal RNA", at positions 509 to 809 of the family's 1533-position model. The record is from RNAcentral.
CAGUAGCCGCGGGAAAACGAAGGGUGCAAGCGUUACUUGGAAUUACUGGGCGUAAAGCGUGCGUAGGUGGUGGUUUAAGUCCGUUGUGAAAGCCCUGGGCUCAACCUGGGAAUUGCAGUGGAUACUGGGUCACUAGAGUGUGGUAGAGGAUAGUGGAAUUUCCGGUGUAGCAGUGAAAUGCGUAGAGAUCGGAAGGAACAUCUGUGGCGAAGGCGACUAUCUGGGCCAACACUGACACUGAGGCACGAAAGCGUGGGGAGCAAACAGGAUUAGAUACCCCAGUAGUCCCUGUCUCUUAUAU